This 7509-nucleotide long non-coding RNA is filed under the name Triticum aestivum (bread wheat). RNAcentral's name for it is "long non-coding RNA (TAES_LNC015638)". The record is from RNAcentral. Lineage: Eukaryota; Viridiplantae; Streptophyta; Magnoliopsida; Poales; Poaceae.
UCCCACAUGUUCCACGAUGAUCUCAUCGGAUGAACCACGAUGUCAAGGACUCAAUCGAUCCCGUAUACAAUUCCCUUUGUCUAGCGGUAUUUUACUUGCCCGAGAUUCGAUCGUCGGUAUACCGAUACCUUGUUCAAUCUCGUUACCGGCAAGUCUCUUUACUCGUUCCGCAACACAUCAUCCCGUGAUCAACCCCUUGGUCACAUUGUGCACAUUAUGAUGAUGUACUACCGAGUGGGCCCAGAGAUACCUCUCCGUUUGCACGGAGUGACAAAUCCCAUUCUCGAUCCGUGUCAACCCAACAGACACUUUCGGAGAUACCUGUAGUGCACCUUUAUAGUCACCCAGUUACGUUGUGACGUUUGAUACACCCAAAGCACUCCUACGGUAUCCGGGAGUUACACGAUCUCAUGGUCUAAGGAAGAGAUACUUGACAUUAGAAAAGCUCUAGCAAACGAACUACACGAUCUUUGUGCUAUGCUUAGGAUUGGGUCUUGUCCAUCACAUCAUUCUCCUAAUGAUGUGAUCCCGUUAUCAACGACAUCCAAUGUCCAUAGCCAGGAAACCAUGACUAUCUGUUGAUCACAACAAGCUAGUCAACUAGAGGCUCACUAGGGACAUAUUGUGGUCUUUGUAUUCACACGUGUAUUAUGAUUUCCGGAUAAUACAGUUAUAGCAUGAAUAAAAGACAAUUAUCAUGAACAAGGAAAUAUAAUAAUACUUUUAUUAUUGCCUCUAGGGCAUAUUUCCAACAGUCUCCCACUUGCACUAGAGUCAAUAAUCUAGUUCACAUCGCCAUGUGAUCAACACUCACAGGUCACAUCGCCAUGUGACCAACAUCAUCAAAUGAGUUCUGGGGUUUGAUCAUGUUUUGCUUGUGAGAGAGGUUUUAGUCAACGGGUCUGAACCUUUCAGAUCCGUGUGUGCUUUGCAAAUAUCUAGGUCAUAUUGUAAACGCUGCUUCCACGCUCCACUUGGAGCUAUUCCAAAUGGUUGCUCCACUAUACGUAUCCGGUUUGCUACUCAGAGUCAUUCGGAUAGGUGUUGAAGCUUGCAUCGACGUAACCCUUUACGCCGAACUCUUUAUCACCUCCAUAAUCGAGAAACAUGUCCUUAUUUACUCCAAGGACAAUUUUGACCGCUGUCCAAUGAUCCAUUCCUGGAUCAUUCUUGUACCCCUUGACUGACUCAUGGCAAGGCACACUUAUGGUGCGGUACACAGCAUAGCAUACUAUAGAGCCUACGUCUGAAGUAUAGGGGACGACCUUCGUCCUUUCUCUCUCUUCUGCCGUGGUCGAGCUUUAACUCUUAACUUCAUACCUUACAUCUCAGGCAAGAACUCCUUCUUUGACUGAUCCAUCUUGAACACCUUCAAGAUCAUGUCAAGGUACGUGCUCAUUUGAAAGUACUAUUAAGCAUUUUGAUCUAUCUUAUAGAUCUUGAUGCUUAUUGUUCAAGUAGCCUAAUCCAGGUUUUCCAUUGAAAAACAUUUUUCAAAUAACCCUAUAUGCUUUCCAGAAAUUCUACAUCAUUUCUGAUCAACAAUAUGUCAAUAACAUAUACUCAUCAGAAAUUCUAUAGUGCUCCCACUCACUUCUUUGGAAAUACAAGUUUCUCAUAAACUUUUGUAUAAACCCAAAAUCUUUGAUCAUCUCAUCAAAACGUACAUUCCAACUCCGAGAUGCUUACUCCAGUCCUUAGAAGGAUCGCUGGAGCCAGCAUACCAUUUAGCAUCCUUAGGAUCGACAAAAACUUUCGGAUUGUAUCACAUACAACCUUUCCUUACGAAGAUUGGUGAGGAAACUCAUUUUGACAUCCAUCUGCCAGAUUUCAUAAAUGCAGCUAAUGCUAACAUGAUUUCGAUGGACUUAAGCAUCGCUACGGAUGAGAAAAUCUCAUCGUAGUCAACUCCUUGAACUUGUGAAAAAACCCUUCGCCACAAGUCGAGCUUCAUAGACGGUGACAUUACCGUCCACGUCCGUCUUCUUCUUAAAGAUCCAUUUAUCUCAAUGGCUUGCCGAUCAUCGGGCAAGUCCACCAAAGUCCAUGCUUUGUUCUGAUACAUGGAUCCUAUCUCGGAUUUCAUGGCUUCUAACCAUUUGUCGGAAUUUGGGCCCGCCAUUGCUUCUCCAUAGCUCGUAGGUUCAUUGUUGUCUAGCAACAUGACCUUCAAGACAUGAUUACUGUACCACUCUGAAGCAGUACGCAUCCUUGUCACCCUACGAGGUACGGUAGUGACUUGAUCCGAAGUUUCAUGAUCACUAUCAUAAGCUUCUACUUCAAUUGGUGUAGGUGCCACAGGAACAACUUCCUGUGCCCUGCUACACACUAGUUGUAGUGACGGUUCAAUAACCAUAUCAAGUCUCCACCAUCCUCCCACUCAACUUUUCGAGACAAACUUUUCCUCGAGAAAGGACCCGCUUCAAGAAACAAUCCUUAUUGCUUUCGGAUCUGAAUUAGGAGGUAUACCUAACUGUUUUGGGUGUCCUAUGAAGAUGCAUUUUAUCCGCUUUGGGUUCGAGCUUAUCAACCUGAAAUUUUUUCCACAUAAGCGUCGCAGCCCCAAACCUUUAAGAAAUGACAGCUUAGGUUUCUCUAAACCAUAGUUCAUACGGUGUCAUCUCAACGGAGUUACAUGGUGCCCUCUUUAAAGUGAAUGUGGUUGUCUCUAAUGCCUAACCCAUAAACGAUAGUGGUAAUUCGAUAAGAGACAUCAUGGUACGCACCAUAUCCAAUAGGGUGCAACUAUGAUGUUCGGACACACCAUCAAACUAUGGUGUUCCAGGCGGUAUUAAUUGUGAAACAAUUUCCACAAUGUCUUAAUUGCGUGCCAAAGCUCGUAACUCAGAUACUCAUCUCUGUGAUCAUAUCAUAGACAUUUCAUCCUCUUGUCACGAUGAUCUUCAACUUCACUCUGAAAUUACUUGAACCAUUCAAUAAUUCAGACUUGUGCUUCAUUAAGUAAAUAUACUCUACAUAUACUCGAAUCAUCUGUGAAGUAAGAACAUAACGAUAUUCACUGCAUGCCUCAGCACUCAUUGGACUGCACACAUCAAAAUGUGUUACUUCCAACAAGUUGCUAUCUUGUUCCAUUUUACUGAAACACGAGGCUUUUUAAUCAUCUUGCCCAUGUGGUAUGAUUUGCAUAUCUCAAGUGAUUCAAAAUCAAGUGAGUCCAAACGAUCCAUCUGCAUGGAGUUUCUUCAUGCGUAUACACCAAUAGACAUGGUUCGCAUGUCUGAAACUUUUCAAAAAUGAGUGAGUCCAAGGAUCCAUCAACAUGGAGCUUCUUUAUGCGUUUUACACCAAUAUGACUUACAUGGCAGUGCCACAAGUAAAUGGUACUAUCAUUACUAUCUUAUAUCUUUUGGCAUGAAAAUGUGUAUCACUAUGAUCGAGAUUCAAUAAACUAUUCCUUUAGGUGCAAGACCAUUGAAGGUAUUAUUCAAAUAAAUAGAGUAACCAUUAUUCUCCUUAAAUGAAUAACCGUAUUGCGACAGACAUAAUCCAAUCAUGUCUAUGCUCAACGCAAACACCAAAUCUCGAUGGUAGAGGGAGCGUGCGAUGCUUGAUCACAUCAACCUUGGAAACUCUUCCAACACAUAUCGUCAGCUCACCUUUAGCUAGUCUCCGUUUAUUCCGUAGCUUUUAUUUCGAGUUACUAACACUUAGCAACCGAACCGGUAUCUAAUACCCUGGUGCUACUAGGAGUACUAGUAAAGUACACAUUAACAUAAUGUAUAUCCAAUAUACUUCUAUCGACCUUGCCAGCCUUCUCAUCUACCAAGUAUCUAGGGUAAUUCCGCUCUAGUGACUAUUCCCCUUAUCACAGAAGCACUUAGUCUCGGGUUUGGGUUCAACCUUGGGUUUCUUCACUGGAGCAGCAGCUGAUUUGCCGUUUCAUGAAGUAUCCCUUCUUGCCCUUUCCCUUCUUGAAACUAGUGGUUUCACCAACCAUCAACAAUUGAUGCUCCUUCUUGAUUUCUACUUUCGCGGUGUCAAACAUCGUGAAUACCUCAAGGAUCAUCAUAUCUAUCCCUGAUAUGUUAUAGUUCAUCACGAAGCUCUAGCAGCUUGGUGGCAAUGACUUUGGAGAAACAUCACUAUCUCAUCUGGAAGAUCAACUCCCACUUGAUUCAAGUGAUUGUCGCACUCAGACAAUCUAAGCACAAGCUCAACGAUUGAGCUUUUCUCCCUUAGUUUGUCGGCUAAGAAAAUCGACAGAGGUCUCAUACCUCUUGACGUGGGCACGAGCCUGAAAUCCCAAUUUCAGCCCUCGAAACAUCUCAUAUGUUCCGCGACGUUUCGAAAACGUCUUUGGUGCCUCAACUCUAAACUGUUUAACUGAACUAUCACGUAGUUAUCAAAACGUGCAUGUCUGAUGUUCGCAACAUCCACAAACGAUGUUUGGGGUUCAGCACAAUGAGCAGUGCAUUAAGGACAUGAGCUUUCUACUGUCCGCAUAAUCGCUACUGUCAACUUUCAACUAUAUUUUCUCUAGGAACAUAUCUAAACAGUGGAACUAAAGCGCGAGCUUACGACAUAAUUUGCAAAGAUCUUUUGACUAUGUUCAGGAUAAUUAAGUUCAUCUUAUGAACUCUCACUCAGAUAGACAUCCCUCUGGUCAUCUAAGUGAUUACAUGAUCCAAGUCAACUAGGCCGUGUCCGAUCAUCACGUGAGACGGACUAGUCAUCAUCGGUGAACAUCUUCAUGUUGAUCGUAUCUACUAUACGACUCAUGCUCGACCUUUCGGUCUCCGUGUUCCGAGGCCAUGUCUAUACAUGCUAGGCUCGUCAAGUUAACCCUAAGUGUUUUCGCUGUGUAAAACUAUCUUACACCCGUUGUAUGUGAACGUAAGAAUCCAUCACACCCGAUCAUCACGUGGUGCUUAGAAGCGACGAACUGUAGCAACGGUGCACAGUUAGGGGAGAACACUUCUUGAAAUUUUGUAAGGGAUCAUCUUAUUUACUACCGUCGUCCUAAGUAAACAAGAUGCAUAAACAUGAUAAACAUCACAUGCAAUCAAAUAGUGACAUGAUAUGGCCAAUAUCAUUUUGCUCCUUUUGAUCUCCAUCUUCGGGGCUCCAUGAUCAUCAUCGUCACCGGCAUGACACCAUGAUCUCUAUCAUCAUGAUCUCCAUCAUCGUGUCUUCAUGAAGUUGUCUCGCCAACUAUUACUUCUACUACUAUGGCUACCGGUUAGCAAUAAAGUAAAGUAAUUACAUGGCAUUGUUCAAUGACACGCAGGUCAUACAAUAAAUCAAGACAACUCCUAUGGCUCCUGCCGGUUGUCAUACUCAUCGACAUGCAAGUCGUGAUUCCUAUUACAAGAACAUGAUCAAUCUCAUACAUCACAUAUCAUUCAUCACAUUCUUCUUGGCCAUAUCACAUCACAUAGCAUACCCUGCAAAAACAAGUUAGACGUCCUCUAGUUGUUGUUUGCAUGUUUUACGUGGCUGCUAUGGGUUUCUAGCAAGAACGUUUCUUACCUACGCAAAAACACAACGUGAUGUGCCAAUUGCUAUUUACCCUUCAUAAGGACCCUUUUCAUCGAAUCCGUUCCGACUAAAGUGGGAGAGACUGGCACCCGCUAGCCACCUUAUGCACGAAGUGCAUGUCAAUCGGUGGAACCUGUCUCACGUAAGAGUACGUGUAAGGUCGGUCCGGGCCGCUUCAUCCCACAAUACCGUCGAAACGAGAUUGGACUAGUAACGGUAAGCAUAUUGAACAACAUCAACGCCCACAACUACUUUGUGUUCUACUCGUGCAAAGAAUCUACGCAAUAGACCUAGCUCAUGAUGCCACUGUUGGGGAACGUAGCAGAAAUUCAAAAUUUUCCUAUGUGUCACCAAGAUCUAUCUAUGGAGAAACCAGCAACGAGGGGAAGGAGAGUGCAUCUACAUACCCUUGUAGAUCGCUAAGCGGAAGCGUUCAAGAGAACGGGGUUGAAGGAGUCGUACUCGUCGUGAUCCAAAUCACCGGAGAUCCUAGUGCCGAACGGACGGCACCUCCGCGUUCAACACACGUACAGCCCGGUGACGUCUCCCACGCCUUGAUCCAGCAAGGAGAGAGGGAGAGGUUGAGGAAGACUCCAUCCAGCAGCAGCACAACGGCAUGGUGGUGAUGGAGGAGCGUGGUAGUCCAGCAGGGCUUCGCCAAGCACCGCGAGAUAUGAGGAGAAGGGAGAGAGGUAUGGCUGCGCCAACAGGAGAAGAAACUCAUGUAUUGGGCUGCUCCUAUGCCUCCAAUAUAUAUAGGGGCAGAGGGGGCUGCGCCCCCACCUAGGUUUCCACCCUAGGGGGCGGCGGUCAGCCCUAGAUCCCAUCUAGGGGGGCGGCCAAGGGGUGGAGAGGGGGAAACUUGCCCCCCAAGCAAGGUGGGGCGCCCCCUCCCCAAACCCUAGGCGCCUUGGGCCUUGGUGGGAGGGCGCACCAGCCCACCUGGGGCUGGUCCCCUCUCACACUUGGCCCAUGCAGCCCUCUGGGGCCGGUGGCCCCACUUGGUGGACCCCCGGGACCCUCCCGAUGGUCCCGGUACGUUACCGAUAAAACCCGAAACUUUUCCGGUGACCAAAACAGGACUUCCCAUAUAUAAAUCUUUACCUCCGGACCAUUCCGGAACUCCUCGUGACGUCCGGAAUCUCAUCCGGGACUCCGAACGACAUUCGGUAACCACAUACAAGCUUCCUUUAUAACCCUAGCGUCAUCGAACCUUAAGUGUGUAGACCCUACGGGUUCGGGAGACAUGUAGACAUGACCGAGACAUUCUCCGGUCAAUAACCAACAGCGGGAUCUGGAUACCCAUGUUGGCUCCCACAUGUUCCACGAUGAUCUCAUCGGAUGAACCACGAUGUCAAGGACUCAAUCGAUCCCGUAUACAAUUCCCUUUGUCUAGCGGUAUUUUACUUGCCCGAGAUUCGAUCGUCGGUAUACCGAUACCUUGUUCAAUCUCGUUACCGGCAAGUCUCUUUACUCGUUCCACAACACAUCAUCCCGUGAUCAACCCCUUGGUCACAUUGUGCACAUUAUGAUGAUGUACUACCGAGUGGACCCAGAGAUACCUCUCCGUUUGCACGGAGUGACAAAUCCCAGUCUCGAUCCGUGUCAACCCAACAGACACUUUCGGAGAUACCUGUAGUGCACCUUUAUAGUCACCCAGUUACAUUGUGACGUUUGAUACACCCAAAGCACUCCUACGGUAUCCGGGAGUUACACGAUCUCAUGGUCUAAGGAAGAGAUACUUGACAUUAGAAAAGCUCUAGCAAACGAACUACACGAUCUUUGUGCUAUGCUUAGGAUUGGGUCUUGUCCAUCACAUCAUUCUCCUAAUGAUGUGAUCCCGUUAUCAACGACAUCCAAUGUCCAUAGCCAGGAAACCAUGACUAUCUGUUGAUCACAACGAGCUAGUCAACUAGAGGCUCACUAGGGACAUAUUGUGGUCUUUGUAUUCACACGUGUAUUACGAUUUCCGGAUAAUACAAUUAUAGCAUGAAUAAAAGACAAUUAUCA